GUGCCAGCAGCCGCGGUAAUACGUAGGUGGCAAGCGUUAUCCGGAAUUAUUGGGCGUAAAGCGCGCGUAGGCGGUUUUUUAAGUCUGAUGUGAAAGCCCACGGCUCAACCGUGGAGGGUCAUUGGAAACUGGAAAACUUGAGUGCAGAAGAGGAAAGUGGAAUUCCAUGUGUAGCGGUGAAUGCGCAGAGAUAUGGAGGAACACCAGUGGCGAAGGCGACUUUCUGGUCUGUAACUGACGCUGAUGUGCGAAAGCGUGGGGAUCAAACAGGAUUAGA
Molecule: ribosomal RNA, 277 nt
Filed under: uncultured Staphylococcus sp.
Lineage: Bacteria; Bacillati; Bacillota; Bacilli; Caryophanales; Staphylococcaceae
Description: partial 16S ribosomal RNA
Rfam family: Bacterial small subunit ribosomal RNA
Source: RNAcentral